This 1772-nucleotide long non-coding RNA is filed under the name Musa acuminata (dwarf banana). RNAcentral describes it as "long non-coding RNA (MACU_LNC008077)". Lineage: Eukaryota; Viridiplantae; Streptophyta; Magnoliopsida; Zingiberales; Musaceae. The record is from RNAcentral.
CCCUUUCUUUGGAAUCUGACUGGUCUGGUUUCCUCGCGGGUUCCCUUGCUUCUUCAGCUGUGGAUCCAGCUACUGCAGCAAUCUAUUGACCCAACACGGAGCUCUGUUGCAAGAACUACACUUUCAACAAAGAAUUCCGGAAAUGGCCAAUUCAGUUAGCGCAGUCAAUACAGACGAACACCUUCCUUGUGCGAAAGCCGUUGUUACUUGUUCCCUUGACUAGAGUAUCGGAUUGACUCACCCCUUUCCAACUUGAAUAGACUGACCUUGACUAGAGUAUCGGAUUGACUCACCCCUUUCCAACUUGAAUAGACUGACUCAGGACCUGGAAUCUAUAAGCUAGGCGCCUCCCCUACCCCGGUAAUUGAACUUGUCAAAAGAGUUGAUGGCUCCUGAAGCGCUAAGUGGUCCAGUCCAGACUUAUAUACGAGCUUACUACUCUUGAACUGAAUUCUCACACGUUACGCGGAUCUUUCCUUGACUUCUUCUGGGCUUGCUUCUUCAGUGCUAAGUCAAUCAGUGUCAUAAUAGAGAAAAGAGAAAAAAGUAAUUAGACAUAGGUUAAGCAGUAUCAAGUAAGCAAACAACAAGCGGGAAAGAUGUAGUUCGGGCAAUCAGAUCUUCUAGACCAACUUAUGCUUCCGCGUAAGGAAAUAUACCAGUUUGCUGUCUCGGUGCGUAAGGCGUUGGGCUGUAACCUCUAUUUCCGUAUUUCAGGUAUCCAACCUAACCUCUAUUUCCGAUCGUUUAACCUAUGGGAAACUACUCUUAUGGAAAAUCUAUCAUGGAAGACCCGAUCACCAGCUACAAAUGCAUUGACGCCUAUAACAUCUUAUUUGUUCUUAGUCACUCUCAAGGACAGGACCUCCUUACUGAGUUAGAUGCGCUUAGGUUCCUUAUUGGUUUUGUUGGCGCAAGAAGAAGGAUCAGAGUUCAAAGAAGGAGAUCAAAUCAGAGAGAUGCCCUGACAAGCUAAAAAGAUUCGCGCGCUUAAGGGGCACAGUUAUAUUGAAAUGAACUUAAGGGGCACAGUUAUAUUGAAAUGCAGAAUUCAGGUUUGUUUGCGAGAUAUCAAUUCCUAUGUUAGAUAUCAAUUCCUAUGUUAAUAGAGCAUCCGUGAAAGAUCAAAUGCAUUCCGUGUUUUCCUAGGCGCAUUAGGAAAGGUUCUUGAAUCACUAACCAUUAGGAAAGGUUCUUGAAUCUCCAUCUUAUAUAGCUAUUGCAUCCGUUAAGAAAUUUAGACGAGCCCCACUAGACUAGCCAAUUACGAUAAGGGGGUUCUCUUGAAACUUUACCGACGCAGUUCAAAACAGGACAUAACUCACUUUAGCUAUUAAUUUGUUGAGCUCCUGACGCCGAAAACUGGAAUUGUAAUAGAGUCAAGUAGUCAAUUAAGCAAGUUGUAUAACCCAUGUGUGAAGCAAGUAGUCAAUUAUGUCUUGUGGGAAAGUAGACAGUAGUCGCUUGUUUAGUAGUCCCUUGCCUUCUUGGUUAUACGUUACUUGGCGAGUGGAAUCGUAAGCAGUGCCUGGAAACUCCGCUCUAUAAGAAUAAGUUCGAGGUAAGGAAACUCUCAGACAAGCUACUAUUAAUGUAGCGCUAACGGCUUAUUGAAUGGAGGCAGGCACCCUUUCCCUUGUUUUAAUAAGAUAAGAUUGAGAAUGAGACAAGAACACCUGGUGUUCAAGAACAAGUACUACCGGUCUGUAACUCCCUUAUUCUUAUUCUCGGUUCGGCUCCUCUACCUCUGGCUCUAGUACUGUUUCUUGGCC